AGCUCCAAUAGCGUAUAUUAAAGUUGUUGCAGUUAAAAAGCUCGUAGUUGGAUUUCUGGUGGGAGCGAUCGGUCCGACGCUUAGCGUGGGUACUUGCAUUGUCUCCGGCCAUCCUUGGGGAGAGUUUGUCUGGCAUUAAGUUGUCGGGCAGAGGAUCCUCAUCGUUUACUGUGAAAAAAUUAGAGUGUUCAAAGCAGGCUUAUGCCGUUGAAUAUAUUAGCAUGGAAUAAUAAGAUAGGACUUUGGUACUAUUUUGUUGGUUUGCGCACCAAAGUAAUGAUUAAUAGGGACAGUUGGGGGUAUUCGUAUUCCGUUGUCAGAGGUGAAAUUCUUGGAUUUACGGAAGACGAACUACUGCGAAAGCAUUUACCAAGGAUGUUUUCAUUAAUCAAGAACGAAA
Molecule: ribosomal RNA, 400 nt
Filed under: phytoplankton environmental sample
Lineage: Eukaryota
Description: partial small subunit ribosomal RNA
Rfam family: Eukaryotic small subunit ribosomal RNA
Source: RNAcentral